Molecule: transfer RNA, 74 nt
Filed under: Nocardioides imazamoxiresistens
Lineage: Bacteria; Bacillati; Actinomycetota; Actinomycetes; Propionibacteriales; Nocardioidaceae
Description: tRNA-Leu
Rfam family: tRNA
About the family: Transfer RNA (tRNA) molecules are approximately 80 nucleotides in length.
Source: RNAcentral
GCCCCCGUAUCCCAACCGGCAGAGGAGACCGUCUUAAAAACGGUCAGUUGUGAGUUCGAGUCUCACCGGGGGCA